UACGUAGGGUGCGAGCGUUGUCCGGAAUUACUGGGCGUAAAGAGCUCGUAGGUGGUUUGUCGCGUUGUUCGUGAAAUCUCACGGCUUAACUGUGAGCGUGCGGGCGAUACGGGCAGACUAGAGUACUGCAGGGGAGACUGGAAUUCCUGGUGUAGCGGUGAAAUGCGCAGAUAUCAGGAGGAACACCGGUGGCGAAGGCGGGUCUCUGGGCAACAACUGACGCUGAGGAGCGAAAGCGUGGGGAGCGAACAGG
Molecule: ribosomal RNA, 253 nt
Filed under: uncultured bacterium
Lineage: Bacteria
Description: partial 16S ribosomal RNA
Rfam family: Bacterial small subunit ribosomal RNA
Source: RNAcentral